This 74-nucleotide transfer RNA is filed under the name Phycisphaerae bacterium RAS1. It matches the Rfam family "tRNA". From Rfam's summary of the family: Transfer RNA (tRNA) molecules are approximately 80 nucleotides in length. Their secondary structure includes four short double-helical elements and three loops (D, anti-codon, and T loops). The record is from Rfam by way of RNAcentral. Lineage: Bacteria; Pseudomonadati; Planctomycetota; Phycisphaerae.
GCGCCCGUAGCUCAGGUGGACAGAGCAUCGGAUUUCUAAUCCGACGGUCGGGGGUUCGAAUCCCUCCGGGCGCG